RNAcentral lists this transfer RNA (65 nucleotides) under Rhinebothrium taeniuri. RNAcentral describes it as "tRNA-Met". The record is from RNAcentral. Lineage: Eukaryota; Metazoa; Platyhelminthes; Cestoda; Rhinebothriidea; Rhinebothriidae.
UGGUGGGUAAGUUAAAUUUCAAACUAUGGGGUUCAUGUCCCCACAAUAUGUUUACAUCUCACUAA